AGGACGAACGCUGGCGGCGUGCUUAACACAUGCAAGUCGAGCGGAAAGGCCCUUCGGGGUACUCGAGCGGCGAACGGGUGAGUAACACGUGAGCAACCUGCCCCUGGCUCUGGGAUAGCCUCCGGAAACGGGGAUUAAUACCGGACAUUCUCCGCCUUCCGCAUGGUUGGCGGUGGAAAGUUUUUUCGGUCGGGGAGGGCUCGCGGCCUAUCAGCUUGUUGGCGGGGUAACGGCCCACCAAGGCGACGACGGGUAGCC
Molecule: ribosomal RNA, 258 nt
Filed under: uncultured bacterium
Lineage: Bacteria
Description: partial small subunit ribosomal RNA
Rfam family: Bacterial small subunit ribosomal RNA
Source: RNAcentral